This 926-nucleotide long non-coding RNA is filed under the name Citrus x clementina. RNAcentral describes it as "Citrus clementina (C. clementina) long non-coding RNA (CCLE_LNC005484)". The record is from RNAcentral. Lineage: Eukaryota; Viridiplantae; Streptophyta; Magnoliopsida; Sapindales; Rutaceae.
UACAUUAUUUAAUAUUAUGGGUAUUUUGCUAAAUUGAUUCUCAUUCUCAUUUAUUUUGCCAAGUAAACACAUCAAUGGCAUUUUAGCACAUUCUCAUUCCCAUUUAUUUUUGCCAAGUAAACAUUGGAAUCUUAUUUCUAUUCCUCAUUCUCAUUUCAGCCAAUUCUCAUUUCAUGAAGUAAACGCACCAUUAGACCUAUGUUGGAUCUAAGUAAAAGAUUUAGUAUAGGGACUCGGGCUUGAAAUAAAAAGGUCUUGCUUUAGAAUCUUAACAACUACAGGGGGAAAUUAGAUUGGAAAACAUUUGACGGAGAGUUACAUAAUCUAUGAUGUUGAGGCAUAUAGUAAUUAUUUCUAGCUAAAGUUGAUUGUUGGAAUAACAAUCUGUUUGCACAUUACAGCUGACAAGAUUUUUUUUUUUUUUAAUUUUUUUUCCCUGCUGCUGGCUGCUUGGUUGAAAGCCUGAAUUCGCUGCUGCGUUAAUUCUCCAUAUGAAAGCUAUCUUUUUUGGAUUUCUAAGCCAUCACAUUACAUAAAAUAAUGAACUAACAGCUUGGAUGCUUUGUUCGUCCCUUUCCAACUAGCAUUAAAAUUGUCUUGUUCAACAGUUAGAACUCAUUUCACAUGAUAGUAAGUAUAAUUGCCCUCGAAAAACUUGUGGGACCUAAUUUAGCCAUUCUAUUGUAGGAAGGACUUGAAUGCACAGUAAGAAAGACAUACAUCGAUGCCAUGGUAAAUAUCUCAAUUCAUUCAUCCCUACAAUUGUUUGGAUAUCUUUAUGUUUGUAUAUGGUCAGAAAGCAAAUUGUUCAGUGGAUUUGUAUAUUUGUUGUCAGUUUCAUCCUAAAAUGUAGGGUUUUAUAUUUUCCUUAUAUUAUCAUGGGUGAAGCUAUUUGCGCUCUAAAGUUUAUUUUGAACACUUUAAAU